Molecule: ribosomal RNA, 406 nt
Filed under: uncultured bacterium
Lineage: Bacteria
Description: partial 16S ribosomal RNA
Rfam family: Bacterial small subunit ribosomal RNA
Source: RNAcentral
AUUGAACGCUGGCGGCAGGCUUAACACAUGCAAGUCGAGCGAGCGGCGGACGGGUGAGUAAUGUCUGGGAAACUGCCUGAUGGAGGGGGAUAACUACUUGAAACGGUAGCUAAUACCGCAUACCAUCAGAUGUUCCCAGAUGGGAUUAGCUAGUAGGUGGGGUAAUGGCUCACCUAGGCGACGAUCCCUAGCUGGUCUGGGAGGAUGACAAGCCCCUCUGGACUGGAUCCACUGUCCAGACUCAGACGGGAGGCGUCAGGGGGGAAUAGUGCACAAUGGGCGCAAGCCUGAUGCAGCCCUGCCGCUUGGGUGAAGAAGGCCUUCGGGUUGUAAAGCACUUUCAGCGAGGAGGCGUUACUCGCAGAAGAAGCACCGGCUAACUCCGUGCCAGCAGCCGCGGUAAUUC